GGAGGCAGCAGUGGGGAAUAUUGCACAAUGGGCGGAAGCCUGAUGCAGCGACGCCGCGUGAGGGAUGACGGCCUUCGGGUUGUAAACCUCUUUCACCAGGGACGAAGCGUAUUUGACGGUACCUGCAGAAGAAGCACCGGCUAACUACGUGCCAGCAGCCGCGGUAAUACGUAGGGUGCGAGCGUUGUCCGGAAUUACUGGGCGUAAAGA
This 210-nucleotide ribosomal RNA is filed under the name uncultured actinomycete. RNAcentral's name for it is "partial 16S ribosomal RNA". It matches the Rfam family "Bacterial small subunit ribosomal RNA", at positions 344 to 566 of the family's 1533-position model. The record is from RNAcentral. Lineage: Bacteria; Bacillati; Actinomycetota; Actinomycetes; Actinomycetales.